Ochlerotatus camptorhynchus is the source of this 348-nucleotide long non-coding RNA. RefSeq lists it as uncharacterized. NCBI's taxonomy places the organism in Eukaryota, Metazoa, Arthropoda, Insecta, Diptera, Culicidae. The transcript has 3 exons. The record is from RefSeq and is a predicted model, not a curated record.
AAUCGUCAAAAUAUUGGUUUGUGAAGUUGGCGUCCCAAGAGUUCUCUGGACUUCCCCGAAGCUGAUUUGAGUUAUCCGAAUUUCAAUGCACUUUUAUGACGAUAUCCGAACUUCUUUAAAACCCUCUGAGGUUCCCCUAAACUUCGGUUGCUCGUCUCGAAAGAGUCUGUACACAUUUCCCUUAACUCAUCUGAGAUUUCCUGGGUCUUUCCGAUUAUCCAUCAACUACACUGAAGUUUUGUUAGCUCUUCUCAAUUUCUCUGAAUACCUCAGAAAGUUCUCUCAAGGACCUUGAGUAUCUCCAAAGAUUUCCUGAACUUCUCCAAAGUUUCUCUUAGCUUACCUUAG